GACGAACGCUGGCGGCGUGCUUAACACAUGCAAGUCGAACGGUGAAGCGCCUUCCUUUUUGGUGGGUGUGGAUGAGUGGCGAACGGGUGAGUAACACGUGAGUAACCUGCCCCCUUCUUCUGGAUAACCGCAUGAAAGUGUGGCUAAUACGGGAUAUUCUGGGUCUGUCGCAUGAUGGGUCUGGGAAAGAUAUUGUUUCGGUGGGGGAUGGGCUCGCGGCCUAUCAGCUUGUUGGUGGGGUGAUGGCCUACCAAGGCGGUGACGGGUAGCCGGCCUGAGAGGGUGGACGGUAACACGGGGACUGAGACACGGCCCAGACUCCUACGGGAGGCAGCAGUGGGGAAUAUUGCACAAUGGGCGCAAGCCUGAUGCAGCGACGCCGCGUGAGGGAUGGAGGCCUUCGGGUUGUGAACCUCUUUCGCCAGUGAAGCAGGCCUGCCUCGUUUGUGGGUGGGUUGACGGUAGCUGGAGAAGAAGCGCCGGCUAACUACGUG
This 494-nucleotide ribosomal RNA is filed under the name uncultured bacterium. RNAcentral describes it as "partial 16S ribosomal RNA". It matches the Rfam family "Bacterial small subunit ribosomal RNA", at positions 28 to 507 of the family's 1533-position model. The record is from RNAcentral.